GGUGAUGUGGUUCAGUGGUAGAGCACUUGCCUAACUUGCAUAAGUCCCUGGGUUCAAUCCCCAGCACAAUUA
Molecule: transfer RNA, 72 nt
Filed under: Marmota marmota marmota (Alpine marmot)
Lineage: Eukaryota; Metazoa; Chordata; Mammalia; Rodentia; Sciuridae
Also listed under: 2 other names
Rfam family: tRNA
About the family: Transfer RNA (tRNA) molecules are approximately 80 nucleotides in length. Their secondary structure includes four short double-helical elements and three loops (D, anti-codon, and T loops). Further hydrogen bonds mediate the characteristic L-shaped molecular structure. tRNAs have two regions of fundamental functional importance: the anti-codon, which is responsible for specific mRNA codon recognition, and the 3' end, to which the tRNAs corresponding amino acid is attached (by aminoacyl-tRNA synthetases). tRNAs cope with the degeneracy of the genetic code in two manners: having more than one tRNA (with a specific anti-codon) for a particular amino acid; and 'wobble' base-pairing, i.e. permitting non-standard base-pairing at the 3rd anti-codon position.
Source: Rfam by way of RNAcentral